CGGGAUUUUCGGGUUGUCGCGGUGUGGGCCUUUCCGGCCCCCAUCGAGGAAAGUCCGAACUCCACAGGGCAGCAUGCUGGUUAACGGCCAGGCGGGUGAAACCGACGGCAAGUGCAACAGAGAGUAGACCGCCAACCCCCGGGUUUCGAUUCGGGGCGGUAAGGGUGAAAGGGUGGUGUAAGAGACCACCAGCACGGGUAGUGAUAUUCGUGGCUGGGUAAACCCCAUGCGGAGCAAGACUAAAUAGGGAGACACGAGACUUCGGUCUCAGGGAGUGGCCCGCUCCCGGUUUCCGGGUAAGUCGCUAGAGGCAGUGAGUAAUUGCUGUCCCAGAUGAAUGGCAACCGGCUCGUUCGCGAGUUACAGAAUUCGGCUUAUAGAAAGUCCCGCACC
This 393-nucleotide RNase P RNA is filed under the name Sulfidibacter corallicola. RNAcentral's name for it is "Bacterial RNase P class A". It matches the Rfam family "Bacterial RNase P class A". From Rfam's summary of the family: Ribonuclease P (RNase P) is a ubiquitous endoribonuclease, found in archaea, bacteria and eukarya as well as chloroplasts and mitochondria. Its best characterised activity is the generation of mature 5'-ends of tRNAs by cleaving the 5'-leader elements of precursor-tRNAs. Lineage: Bacteria; Pseudomonadati; Acidobacteriota; Holophagae; Acanthopleuribacterales; Acanthopleuribacteraceae. The record is from Rfam by way of RNAcentral.